AGGGAGGGAGGUCUCUGGGGGCAUGCCUUUGGGGUGUAUAUUUGUCCCAGGUAAGUGGAAUUCUCUCUGCAUCCUGGUACCAUGUUCCCAGCUGCUUUCCUCUGCCAUACACUUCUGCCAAGACGUCCUGCCUCACCUCAUGUCCCUAGGAAUGGAGACAGCUGUUAAUGGACUGAGACCUCUGAAACCAUGAGCCCCAAAAUCAACUUUUCCUCUUCUAAUUGUUCUUGUCAGGUCUUUUGGUCACAGCAGGAAAAAAAUGACUAAAACACACAGGUUGUCUAUAUUACACAGGGGCAAGAUCAAGAGUCAGGGUCUUCUGCUGAGGCAAACUGUACCUUAGUAAGUGUUGGUACUUCUGGAAAGGCAAAACUCAACUAUGUCCUAUCUAAACUCACAUUGGGGCUCCUCAAUCGACCUGUAUUCAUCCAGAACCUAGACAUAAAUGAUCAUUAUACUUAAUGCUAAUUUUUACUGUUGUUACAUAUAAUAAUUUAUUAUUACUAAUACAAAAAGAAAAUUUAAGACAAAUCACCUAU
RNAcentral lists this long non-coding RNA (539 nucleotides) under Marmota monax (woodchuck). Lineage: Eukaryota; Metazoa; Chordata; Mammalia; Rodentia; Sciuridae. The record is from RNAcentral.